GUGGGGAAUCUUGCGCAAUGGGCGAAAGCCUGACGCAGCCAUGCCGCGUGAAUGAUGAAGGUCUUAGGAUUGUAAAAUUCUUUCACCGGGGACGAUAAUGACGGUACCCGGAGAAGAAGCUCCGGCUAACUUCGUGCCAGCAGCCGCGGUAAUACGAAGGGGGCUAGCGUUGCUCGGAAUUACUGGGCGUAAAGGGCGCGUAGGCGGACAGCUUAGUCAGAGGUGAAAGCCCAGGGCUCAACCUUGGAAUUGCCUUUGAUACUGGCUGUCUUGAGUUUGGGAGAGGUGAGUGGAACUCCGAGUGUAGAGGUGAAAUUCGUAGAUAUUCGGAAGAACACCAGUGGCGAAGGCGACUCACUGGCCCAAUACUGACGCUGAGGCGCGAAAACGUGGGGAGCAAACAGGAUUAGAAACCCGUGUAGUCC
This 425-nucleotide ribosomal RNA is filed under the name uncultured bacterium. RNAcentral's name for it is "partial 16S ribosomal RNA". It matches the Rfam family "Bacterial small subunit ribosomal RNA", at positions 354 to 796 of the family's 1533-position model. The record is from RNAcentral.